AAUAGAUACCCCGGUAGUCCACGCCCUAAACUAUGUCGACUGGUUGUUGGGGGGAGUCUGUCCCUCAGUAACGUAGCUAACGCGUGAAGUCGACCGCCUGGGGAGUACGGUCGCAAGAUUAAAACUCAAAGGAAUUGACGGGGACCCGCACAAGCGGUGGAUUAUGUGGAUUAAUUCGAUGCAACGCGAAGAACCUUACCUACCCUUGACAUGCCAGGAACCUCGCAGAGAUGUGAGGGUGCCCGAAAGGGAACCUGGACACAGGUGCUGCAUGGCUGUCGUCAGCUCGUGUCGUGAGAUGUUGGGUUAAGUCCCGCAACGAGCGCAACCCUUGCCAUUAGUUGCUACAUUCAGUUGGGCACUCUAAUGGGACUGCCGGUGACAAACCGGAGGAAGGUGGGGAUGACGUCAAGUCCUCAUGGCCCUUAUGGGUAGGGCUUCACACGUAAUACAAUGGCGCAUACAGAGGGCUGCAAACCCGCGAGGGGGAGCCAAUCCCAAAAAGUGCGUCGUAGUCCGGAUUGUUCUCUGCAACCCGAGAGC
RNAcentral lists this ribosomal RNA (543 nucleotides) under uncultured bacterium. RNAcentral describes it as "bacterial SSU rRNA". It matches the Rfam family "Bacterial small subunit ribosomal RNA", at positions 777 to 1319 of the family's 1533-position model. The record is from RNAcentral.